GUUGUAUGGUUAAGUGACUAAGCGUACACGGUGGAUGCCUUGGCAGUUGGAGGCGAUGAAGGACGUACUAACUUGCGAUAAGCCUAGUUGAGCCAGUAAGAGGCGCUUGAGACUAGGAUUUCCGAAUGGGGAAACCCACCUGUUUACAGGUAUCAUAUGGUGAAUACAUAGCCAUAUGAGGCGAACGCGGAGAACUGAAACAUCUAAGUACCCGUAGGAAAAGAAAUCAACCGAGAUUCCGAUAGUAGCGGCGAGCGAAAUCGGACCAGCCCUUAAGCUUUAGUGUAGUUAGUGGAACAUUCUGGAAAGUUUGACGACACAGGGUGAUAGUCCCGUACACAAAAACUUAUCUAAAGUGAAAUCGAGUAGGUCGGAGCACGUGAAACUUUGACUGAAUAUGGGGGGACCAUCCUCCAAGGCUAAAUACUCCCAACUGACCGAUAGUGAACCAGUACCGUGAGGGAAAGGCGAAAAGAACCCCUGUGAGGGGAGUGAAAUAGAACCUGAAACCGUGUACGUACAAGCAGUAGGAGCAGGCUCGUCCUGUGACUGCGUACCUUUUGUAUAAUGGGUCAGCGACUUAUAUUUUGUAGCGAGGUUAACCGAUUAGGGUAGCCGUAGCGAAAGCGAGUCUUAACUGGGCGCUUAGUUGCAAGGUAUAGACCCGAAACCCGGUGAUCUAGCCAUGGGCAGGUUGAAGGUUGAGUAACAUCAACUGGAGGACCGAACCCACUAACGUUGAAAAGUUAGGGGAUGACCUGUGGCUAGGAGUGAAAGGCUAAUCAAACCGGGAGAUAGCUGGUUCUCCCCGAAAUCUAUUUAGGUAGAGCCUCGGACGAAUACUUACGGGGGUAGAGCACUGUUAAGGCUAGGGGGUCAUCCCGACUUACCAACCCUUUGCAAACUCCGAAUACCGUAAAGUACUAUCCGGGAGACACACGGCGGGUGCUAACGUCCGUCGUGAAGAGGGAAACAACCCAGACCGCCAGCUAAGGUCCCAAAGUGUAUGUUAAGUGGGAAACGAUGUGGGAAGGCUAAAACAGCUAGGAGGUUGGCUUAGAAGCAGCCACCCUUUAAAGAAAGCGUAAUAGCUCACUAGUCGAGUCGGCCUGCGCGGAAGAUGUAACGGGGCUAAACAUACCACCGAAGCUGCGGCUGCGAAU
Molecule: ribosomal RNA, 1163 nt
Filed under: Pseudoalteromonas amylolytica
Lineage: Bacteria; Pseudomonadati; Pseudomonadota; Gammaproteobacteria; Alteromonadales; Pseudoalteromonadaceae
Also listed under: 1 other name
Description: bacterial LSU rRNA
Rfam family: Bacterial large subunit ribosomal RNA
Source: RNAcentral